This 29-nucleotide non-coding RNA is filed under the name Mus musculus (house mouse). Lineage: Eukaryota; Metazoa; Chordata; Mammalia; Rodentia; Muridae. The record is from RNAcentral.
UCCCAAGUUACUCACAGUGUUUGCAAAGC